This 1290-nucleotide ribosomal RNA is filed under the name Enterococcus sp. Its description in RNAcentral is "bacterial SSU rRNA". It matches the Rfam family "Bacterial small subunit ribosomal RNA", at positions 57 to 1321 of the family's 1533-position model. Lineage: Bacteria; Bacillati; Bacillota; Bacilli; Lactobacillales; Enterococcaceae. The record is from RNAcentral.
GCAGUCGACGCUUCUUUUUCCACCGGAGCUUGCUCCACCGGAAAAAGAGGAGUGGCGAACGGGUGAGUAACACGUGGGUAACCUGCCCAUCAGAAGGGGAUAACACUUGGAAACAGGUGCUAAUACCGUAUAACAAUCGAAACCGCAUGGUUUUGAUUUGAAAGGCGCUUUCGGGUGUCGCUGAUGGAUGGACCCGCGGUGCAUUAGCUAGUUGGUGAGGUAACGGCUCACCAAGGCGACGAUGCAUAGCCGACCUGAGAGGGUGAUCGGCCACAUUGGGACUGAGACACGGCCCAAACUCCUACGGGAGGCAGCAGUAGGGAAUCUUCGGCAAUGGACGAAAGUCUGACCGAGCAACGCCGCGUGAGUGAAGAAGGUUUUCGGAUCGUAAAACUCUGUUGUUAGAGAAGAACAAGGAUGAGAGUAACUGUUCAUCCCUUGACGGUAUCUAACCAGAAAGCCACGGCUAACUACGUGCCAGCAGCCGCGGUAAUACGUAGGUGGCAAGCGUUGUCCGGAUUUAUUGGGCGUAAAGCGAGCGCAGGCGGUUUCUUAAGUCUGAUGUGAAAGCCCCCGGCUCAACCGGGGAGGGUCAUUGGAAACUGGGAGACUUGAGUGCAGAAGAGGAGAGUGGAAUUCCAUGUGUAGCGGUGAAAUGCGUAGAUAUAUGGAGGAACACCAGUGGCGAAGGCGGCUCUCUGGUCUGUAACUGACGCUGAGGCUCGAAAGCGUGGGGAGCAAACAGGAUUAGAUACCCUGGUAGUCCACGCCGUAAACGAUGAGUGCUAAGUGUUGGAGGGUUUCCGCCCUUCAGUGCUGCAGCUAACGCAUUAAGCACUCCGCCUGGGGAGUACGACCGCAAGGUUGAAACUCAAAGGAAUUGACGGGGGCCCGCACAAGCGGUGGAGCAUGUGGUUUAAUUCGAAGCAACGCGAAGAACCUUACCAGGUCUUGACAUCCUUUGACCACUCUAGAGAUAGAGCUUCCCCUUCGGGGGCAAAGUGACAGGUGGUGCAUGGUUGUCGUCAGCUCGUGUCGUGAGAUGUUGGGUUAAGUCCCGCAACGAGCGCAACCCUUAUUGUUAGUUGCCAUCAUUUAGUUGGGCACUCUAGCAAGACUGCCGGUGACAAACCGGAGGAAGGUGGGGAUGACGUCAAAUCAUCAUGCCCCUUAUGACCUGGGCUACACACGUGCUACAAUGGGAAGUACAACGAGUCGCAAAGUCGCGAGGCUAAGCUAAUCUCUUAAAGCUUCUCUCAGUUCGGAUUGUAGGCUGCAACUCGCCUACAU